GAUGAACGCUAGCUACAGGCUUAACACAUGCAAGUCGAGGGGCAGCAUGACGAUAGCUUGCUAUUGUUGAUGGCGACCGGCGCACGGGUGAGUAACGCGUAUCCAACCUGCCCUUGUCCAACGGAUAACCCGUCGAAAGGCGGACUAACACGGUAUGCAGUUCUCAGCGGGCAUCUAACGAGAACGAAAUGGAAAGGAGAAGGAAGGGGAUGCGUCUGAUUAGCUUGUUGGCGGGGUAACGGCCCACCAAGGCGACGAUCAGUAGGGGUUCUGAGAGGAAGGUCCCCCACAUUGGAACUGAGACACGGUCCAAACUCCUACGGGAGGCAGCAGUGAGGAAUAUUGGUCAAUGGGCGAGAGCCUGAACCAGCCAAGUAGCGUGCAGGAAGACGGCCCUAUGGGUUGUAAACUGCUUUUAUACGGGGAUAAAGUGGGUCACGUGUGGCUUAUUGCAGGUACCGUAUGAAUAAGGACCGGCUAAUUCCGUGCCAGCCGCCGCAGUAA
RNAcentral lists this ribosomal RNA (504 nucleotides) under uncultured bacterium. RNAcentral describes it as "partial 16S ribosomal RNA". It matches the Rfam family "Bacterial small subunit ribosomal RNA", at positions 28 to 523 of the family's 1533-position model. The record is from RNAcentral.